Molecule: ribosomal RNA, 2938 nt
Filed under: Serratia liquefaciens
Lineage: Bacteria; Pseudomonadati; Pseudomonadota; Gammaproteobacteria; Enterobacterales; Yersiniaceae
Also listed under: 1 other name
Description: 23S ribosomal RNA
Rfam family: Bacterial large subunit ribosomal RNA
Source: RNAcentral
GGGUUGUGAGGUUAAGUGACUAAGCGUACACGGUGGAUGCCUAGGCAGUCAGAGGCGAUGAAGGGCGUGCUAAUCUGCGAAAAGCGUCGGUAAGGUGAUAUGAACCGUUAUAACCGGCGAUACCCGAAUGGGGAAACCCAGUGUGUUUCGACACACUAUCAUGUCAUGAAUACAUAGUGGCAUGAGGCGAACCGGGGGAACUGAAACAUCUAAGUACCCCGAGGAAAAGAAAUCAACCGAGAUUCCCCCAGUAGCGGCGAGCGAACGGGGAGGAGCCCAGAACCUGAAUCGGCUUGUGUGUUAGUGGAAGCGUCUGGAAAGUCGCGCAGCAAAGGGUGAUAGCCCCGUACACUAAAAUGCACAGGUCGUGAGUUCGAUGAGUAGGGCGGGACACGUGACAUCCUGUCUGAAUAUGGGGGGACCAUCCUCCAAGGCUAAAUACUCCUGACUGACCGAUAGUGAACCAGUACCGUGAGGGAAAGGCGAAAAGAACCCCGGCGAGGGGAGUGAAAUAGAACCUGAAACCGUGUACGUACAAGCAGUGGGAGCACCUUCGUGGUGUGACUGCGUACCUUUUGUAUAAUGGGUCAGCGACUUAUAUUUUGUAGCAAGGUUAACCGUAUAGGGGAGCCGUAGGGAAACCGAGUCUUAACUGGGCGAAUAGUUGCAAGGUAUAGACCCGAAACCCGGUGAUCUAGCCAUGGGCAGGUUGAAGGUUGGGUAACACUAACUGGAGGACCGAACCGACUAAUGUUGAAAAAUUAGCGGAUGACUUGUGGCUGGGGGUGAAAGGCCAAUCAAACCGGGAGAUAGCUGGUUCUCCCCGAAAGCUAUUUAGGUAGCGCCUCGUGAACUCAUCUUCGGGGGUAGAGCACUGUUUCGGCUAGGGGGCCAUCCCGGCUUACCAAACCGAUGCAAACUCCGAAUACCGAAGAAUGUUAUCACGGGAGACACACGGCGGGUGCUAACGUCCGUCGUGAAGAGGGAAACAACCCAGACCGCCAGCUAAGGUCCCAAAGUCAUGGUUAAGUGGGAAACGAUGUGGGAAGGCACAGACAGCCAGGAUGUUGGCUUAGAAGCAGCCAUCAUUUAAAGAAAGCGUAAUAGCUCACUGGUCGAGUCGGCCUGCGCGGAAGAUGUAACGGGGCUAAACCAUGCACCGAAGCUGCGGCAGCGACGCUUAGGCGUUGUUGGGUAGGGGAGCGUUCUGUAAGCCGUUGAAGGUGGCCUGUGAGGGUUGCUGGAGGUAUCAGAAGUGCGAAUGCUGACAUAAGUAACGAUAAAGCGGGUGAAAAGCCCGCUCGCCGGAAGACCAAGGGUUCCUGUCCAACGUUAAUCGGGGCAGGGUGAGUCGACCCCUAAGGCGAGGCUGAAAAGCGUAGUCGAUGGGAAACAGGUUAAUAUUCCUGUACUUGGUGUUACUGCGAAGGGGGGACGGAGAAGGCUAGGCUAGCCGGGCGACGGUUGUCCCGGUUUAAGCGUGUAGGGGGUGUGACCUGGUAAAUCCGGUUACAUACUAACCCUGAGGCGUGAUGACGAUGCACUACGGUGCAGAAGUAGUUGAUGCCCUGCUUCCAGGAAAAGCCUCUAAGCUCCAGGUAACAUUAAAUCGUACCCCAAACCGACACAGGUGGUCAGGUAGAGAAUACCAAGGCGCUUGAGAGAACUCGGGUGAAGGAACUAGGCAAAAUGGUGCCGUAACUUCGGGAGAAGGCACGCUGGCAUGUAGGUGAAGUCCCUCGCGGAUGGAGCUGAAGCCAGUCGAAGAUACCAGCUGGCUGCAACUGUUUAAUAAAAACACAGCACUGUGCAAACACGAAAGUGGACGUAUACGGUGUGACGCCUGCCCGGUGCUGGAAGGUUAAUUGAUGGGGUCAGCCGCAAGGCGAAGCUCUUGAUCGAAGCCCCAGUAAACGGCGGCCGUAACUAUAACGGUCCUAAGGUAGCGAAAUUCCUUGUCGGGUAAGUUCCGACCUGCACGAAUGGCGUAAUGAUGGCCAGGCUGUCUCCACCCGAGACUCAGUGAAAUUGAACUCGCUGUGAAGAUGCAGUGUACCCGCGGCAAGACGGAAAGACCCCGUGAACCUUUACUAUAGCUUGACACUGAACAUUGAGCCUUGAUGUGUAGGAUAGGUGGGAGGCUUUGAAGCGUGGACGCCAGUCUGCGUGGAGCCAUCCUUGAAAUACCACCCUUUAAUGUUUGAUGUUCUAACUCGGCCCCAUAAUCUGGGGUGAGGACAGUGUCUGGUGGGUAGUUUGACUGGGGCGGUCUCCUCCCAAAGAGUAACGGAGGAGCACGAAGGUUAGCUAAUCACGGUCGGACAUCGUGAGGUUAGUGCAAAGGCAUAAGCUAGCUUGACUGCGAGAGUGACGGCUCGAGCAGGUACGAAAGUAGGUCUUAGUGAUCCGGUGGUUCUGAAUGGAAGGGCCAUCGCUCAACGGAUAAAAGGUACUCCGGGGAUAACAGGCUGAUACCGCCCAAGAGUUCAUAUCGACGGCGGUGUUUGGCACCUCGAUGUCGGCUCAUCACAUCCUGGGGCUGAAGUAGGUCCCAAGGGUAUGGCUGUUCGCCAUUUAAAGUGGUACGCGAGCUGGGUUUAGAACGUCGUGAGACAGUUCGGUCCCUAUCUGCCGUGGGCGUUGGAAGAUUGAGAGGGGUUGCUCCUAGUACGAGAGGACCGGAGUGAACGCACCACUGGUGUUCGGGUUGUCAUGCCAAUGGCAUUGCCCGGUAGCUAAGUGCGGAAAAGAUAAGCGCUGAAAGCAUCUAAGCGCGAAACUUGCCUCAAGAUGAGUCUUCCCUGGGCCUUUAAGGCCCCUGAAGGAACGUUUAAGACUAAGACGUUGAUAGGCUGGGUGUGUAAGUGCAGCGAUGCAUUGAGCUAACCAGUACUAAUGAUCCGUGAGGCUUAACCUUACAACACCGAAGGUGUUUUAG